UACCUGCAGAAGAAGCACCGGCUAACUACGUGCCAGCAGCCGCGGUAAUACGUAGGGUGCGAGCGUUGUCCGGAAUUAUUGGGCGUAAAGAGCUCGUAGGCGGUUUGUCGCGUCUAUCGUGAAAGUCCGAGGCUCAACUUCGGAUCUGCGGUGGGUACGGGCAGACUAGAGUGAUGUAGGGGAGACUGGAAUUCCUGGUGUAGCGGUGAAAUGCGCAGAUAUCAGGAGGAACACCGAUGGCGAAGGCAAGUCUCUGGGCAUUAACUGACGCUGAGGAGCGAAAGCAUGGGGAGCGAACAGGAUUAGAUACCCUGGUAGUCCAUGCCGUAAACGUUGGGCACUAGGUGUGGGGGACAUUCCACGUUUUCCGCGCCGUAGCUAACGCAUUAAGUGCCCCGCCUGGGGAGUACGGCCGCAAGGCUAAAACUCAAAGGAAUUGACGGGGGCCCGCACAAGCGGCGGAGCAUGCGGAUUAAUCGAUGCAACGCGAAGAACCUUCCAAGGCUUGACAUGUGCUAGAUCGCCAUGUAAAC
RNAcentral lists this ribosomal RNA (533 nucleotides) under uncultured Arthrobacter sp. Its description in RNAcentral is "bacterial SSU rRNA". It matches the Rfam family "Bacterial small subunit ribosomal RNA", at positions 476 to 1007 of the family's 1533-position model. The record is from RNAcentral. Lineage: Bacteria; Bacillati; Actinomycetota; Actinomycetes; Micrococcales; Micrococcaceae.